Non-coding RNA from Myodes glareolus (Bank vole), 450 nucleotides. Lineage: Eukaryota; Metazoa; Chordata; Mammalia; Rodentia; Cricetidae. The record is from RefSeq and is a predicted model, not a curated record.
AUACUACGUCCUGUACCUUUGGUCUUUCCUGAAUUCAUCAUGGGAAACUCUCCAUACAGCGCAGUUAAAACUGCUUUGUUCUCACCAAUGGUGUAUGCAGUCCUCAACACAUUAGAUCUCUCUAGGCAAUGCAUUCACUAUUGAUGGGUGACGGCCACUUGGAGUGUUAGAAACCACAAGCAUUGGUGACAGUUUAUUCAAACGAGCACAACUAUAUCUUUUUAAAAAAUUCAUUUAACUUAUUUAUUUUAUGUGCACUGGCGUGAAGGUAUCAGAUCCCUUGGAAAUGGAGUCACAGUCUGUCAGUCACGAGUCACCCUGUGGGUGCUGGGAAUUGAACCUGGGUCUUCUGGAAGACCAGUCAGUGCUCUUAACUGCUGAGCCAUCUCUCCAACCCCCACAGAACUAUAUCUUUACAUCCUUACAUUCCCCUCUUUUCAAAAGUUAAAU